GUCUUUUUCGUUUUGGAUGCACAAAAUUGCUAUCAACAUAUUGGAGAAUAACCACUCCAUCCUUCACAAUAUUCUGGCACUAGGUCUAUGAGGAGGUUGUUCUUUUGAGCAGAGAUUAUCAUUUUUUUAAAAAAAAUAUCUAUAUUAAAUAAAAAGGGAAAGUGGAUCUUAUUAUCUUACCCCUUUUCUAAAUUUUGAAGUAGG
RNAcentral lists this long non-coding RNA (204 nucleotides) under Zea mays. RNAcentral's name for it is "drought responsive lncRNA". The record is from RNAcentral. Lineage: Eukaryota; Viridiplantae; Streptophyta; Magnoliopsida; Poales; Poaceae.